GGCCGCUUAGUUUAGGGGCAUAAUACUCGCUUUGGGUUUCGGCACAUCUGCCUACUUCUGCGAGAGGUCAUCGGUUCGAAUCCGGUAGCGGCCC
Molecule: non-coding RNA, 94 nt
Organism: Violaceomyces palustris
Lineage: Eukaryota; Fungi; Basidiomycota; Ustilaginomycetes; Violaceomycetales; Violaceomycetaceae
Source: the annotation of a GenBank genome assembly